RNAcentral lists this ribosomal RNA (460 nucleotides) under uncultured bacterium. RNAcentral describes it as "partial 16S ribosomal RNA". It matches the Rfam family "Bacterial small subunit ribosomal RNA", at positions 338 to 795 of the family's 1533-position model. The record is from RNAcentral.
CCUACGGGAGGCAGCAGUGAGGAAUAUUGGUCAAUGGACGAGAGUCUGAACCAGCCAAGUAGCGUGAAGGAUGACUGCCCUAUGGGUUGUAAACUUCUUUUAUAUGGGAAUAAAAUGUUCCACGUGUGGGAUUUUGUAUGUACCAUAUGAAUAAGGAUCGGCUAACUCCGUGCCAGCAGCCGCGGUAAUACGGAGGAUCCGAGCGUUAUCCGGAUUUAUUGGGUUUAAAGGGAGCGUAGGUGGAUUGUUAAGUCAGUUGUGAAAGUUUGCGGCUCAACCGUAAAAUUGCAGUUGAAACUGGCAGUCUUGAGUACAGUAGAGGUGGGCGGAAUUCGUGGUGUAGCGGUGAAAUGCUUAGAUAUCACGAAGAACUCCGAUUGCGAAGGCAGUUCACUGGACUGCAACUGACACUGAGGCUCGAAAGUGUGGGUAUCAAACAGGAUUUGAUACCCGAGUAGUC